RNAcentral lists this ribosomal RNA (3180 nucleotides) under Triticum aestivum (bread wheat). Its description in RNAcentral is "partial small subunit ribosomal RNA". Lineage: Eukaryota; Viridiplantae; Streptophyta; Magnoliopsida; Poales; Poaceae. The record is from RNAcentral.
AUGCCGGCCCCGCCGGAAAGCGCGGCGGGCGGCAGCAGCGGGGAGCACCUCCGCGGCCACGCGCACCUCACCAACUGCAUCCACCUGCGCCACCACCACGCGCACGGCCACGGCAGCGCGUCCGGCCGGCGGCGCAGCCCCCCCGAGUCCUCCGCGUCGCUCAUGCGGGACCUCCUCGCGAUGCAGCGCUCCCGCUCGCUCCGGGACCCCUCCACCCGCCGCUCCGUCGACUCCUCCUCCCGCGUCGCCGCCGAGCCCCCCGAGGACGACCCCCCCGCCCCCGCCCCAGGCCGCGGCGCGCUCAAGACCCUCCUCGACCAGCUCGCGGAGGACCCGCGCCCCAGCGCCCGCCGCCCGCGCCGCCGGUUCAGGCGCGGGGCCGGCCGCCGCGCCGCGCCCGCUGCCGCGGACGCCGGCGGUCUGGAUCGCGCUGGCGCCUUCUCCGCCAACUCCAGCUCCCAGGAGGCCGUCUGCGGCAACAGGUACUUCUUCGGCGCCGGCGCGGGCAGCGACGACAGCGAGGGGCUGCAGCCGCGCCCGCGGCCCCAGGCGUCGCAGGACUCGCGCAACGUCUGCGGCAUCCCCUGGAACUGGUCGCGCCUCCACCACCGCAGCAAGUCCAUCCUCGACAUGGCCGGCCGGAGCCUCUCCUGCGGCCUGUCCGACCCCAAGUCGGCGGCCGCGGCGCGGAGGUCCUUGGCCGCCACUUCCUGCGGUGCCUACGCGGACGGGUCGCGUUCGCACCCGCACUUCCCGGUGACGGCGAGGCUGACGUCCUCCACCAGCUCCGACUCCGACUCACUGCCGCUGCUCGCCGAGGGCGCGCGGAAUGGCAUCCGCGCCAUUUCCAGGAGCUUCUCUGGGGAGCUCGGGAUUUUCUCCAAUCAGAGCAGCGAGCUGGAUUCCGACCUCAUGUCCGAGGCGCGCUCGGGGCAGAAGUCGCGGGGCUCGCAGCGUGGCCGGCACCGGAGCCUCACUCAGAAGUAUGCACCCAGGACUUUCAAGGACGUUGUUGGGCAGAGCUUGGUUGUGCAGGCGCUGUCCAAUGCCAUUCUCAAGAGGAAGAUCGGGUCCGUCUAUGUCUUCUAUGGGCCGCACGGUACAGGCAAAACAUCGUGUGCUCGGGUGUUCGCCAAGGCGCUGAACUGCCAUUCUCCUGAACACCCCAAGCCUUGCGACACAUGCGCGUCUUGUAUCGCGCACAAUCUGGGAAAGAGUAGAAGUUUGGUGGAGAUUGGGCCUGUUGGUAACAUUGACCUGGACAGCAUUGUGGAUAUCCUUGACAAUGUGAUGCUUUCGCCGCUACCGGCGCACCACAGGGUGUUCAUCGUGGAUGAUUGCAACACACUGCCGCCUGAUACGUGGAGUGUCAUAUCGAAGGUUGUUGAGCGUGCACCUCGGCGUGUGGUUUUUGUUCUCAUCAGCCCAAAUCUCGACCUCCCACAUAUUAUUAUGUCAAGGUGCCAAAAGUUCUUCUUCCCCAAACUGAAGGAAUGCGACAUUGUCAACACUUUGCAGUGGAUUUGUACUAGUGAUGGCCUAGAUGUCGAUAGAGAUGCCUUGAAGCUUAUUGCUUCCCGGUCAGAUGGGUCACUGAGGGAUGCAGAGAUGACCUUGGAUCAAUUGAGUUUGCUUGGGCAGAGAAUUACAAUGCCACUUGUUCAAGAACUUGCUGGCUUGGUUUCUGACGAUAAAUUGGUAAAUUUGCUUGAUUUGGCACUAUCUGCUGACACUGCAAACACGGUGAAAGCUUUGCGUGAUAUUACUGAAACAGGUGUUGAACCUUUGUCCCUAAUGUCUCAAGUCGCCACAAUAAUAACUGAUAUCCUUGCUGGCACCUACACAUUCACACAGGAAAGAAUUCGAAGAAGGUUCUUCAAACGUCCAACAUUAUCAAAGGAGGAUAUGGAAAAACUGCGCCAGGCCUUGAAAACACUCUCUGAAGCUGAAAAACAGUUGAGGGUCUCUAAUGAUAAGAUGACCUGGCUUACAGCUGCUCUGCUCCAGCUUGCUCCUGAUAAACAGUAUGUACUGCCAAGUUCAUCGACAAGUACAAGUUUUAACCAGGGUUUGCCUACAUACCCUGAUGGUGAUAUAGCAAGGAACUCUGGUCCGCAUGGGUUAUCAAGAGCAUCUGACCAAGAAAAUCUGCAAUACAGAAGAAAUGCUAAUCUGGGGAUUUGUUCUAGCCAUGUCACGGCAAACAAUUACCAUGGUGGAAGGAGACUCAGGGAACAUACACCAGAUGGCCAUAUGUUGUCAACAAGUGCUACCAGAAUGAAUGAAGGAUCUAAAUGUAGCAAAACUGACAACGAGAUGAUUUGGCAAGCUGUUCUAGAAAAUGUCGAGUCAGAUUCGUUGAGAAAAAUGAUGGCUAAAGAGGGACGGGUGAUUUCUGUUAGCCUUGGCACAGCACCAACUGUGCAGUUAAUGUUCAGUUCUCGAGUGAAUAAGUCCAAAGCUGAAAAGUCCAGGGGUCAAAUUUUGCAAGCAUUUGAGUCUGUUCUUUCUUCUGCUAUAAUACUUGAAAUCCGAUAUGAAUCGAAGGAUGGUGGAGAAGGUGUUGAGGAUACCUAUUCCAACAUUGCUUUAACGAGGUCUUUCACGAAACAUAGUUCAGUUUCUUCUGGAGGUGAGAAUUUAGUUAGCAGGCUCCAGAAAGGCAGAGUUGCCCAGGGUACUAGCUCAAAUCAGACAAGAUGGAUGCAAUCUGAUCCACACAUAUUGACUGAAGGUGAGAUUAUUGAAGUGGGCCCUUCUGAAAUGGGAUGGUACGGGGAACCAGAUACUGGUGCUGUUGCCUCAGAUAAAAGAAGAAGUGUACGGGAAGCAGCUUUGUCAUCACAAGACCAAGAAAAUAUACGUCCUCCAGGAGGAACAAAUGAACAUGAUCGACAAAAAAAUAUAGUAAGAGGUAAGGUAUCUCUUGCUCAUGUUAUUAACAAGGCGGAAGCUUGUUCUCAACAAGGAGGCUGGUCAAGACAAAAAGGCAUGUCAAUAACAGAAAAGUUAGAGCAAGAGAAUUUGAGAUUAGAGCCUAGGUCGAGUCUGCUUUGUUGGAAAGCUUCGAGCACUACUAGACGGAAGCUCUCAGAAUUGAAGAUAAGGACUCGAAGAUCGCGAGCCCUAUCAAGACUCGUCUUGUGUGGAAGGUGCAUUUCAGUGAAAUCUCCAAGAUAA